This 580-nucleotide ribosomal RNA is filed under the name uncultured bacterium. Its description in RNAcentral is "partial 16S ribosomal RNA". It matches the Rfam family "Bacterial small subunit ribosomal RNA", at positions 346 to 920 of the family's 1533-position model. The record is from RNAcentral.
UAGCANCAGNGNGGANNUUGGACAAUGGGCGCAAGCCUGAUCCAGCCAUGCCGCGUGCAGGAAGACGGUCCUAUGGAUUGUAAACUGCUUUUGCAGGAGAAGAAUAAGUUCGACGUGUCGAGCGAUGACGGUACUCUGCGAAUAAGCAUCGGCUAACUCCGUGCCAGCAGCCGCGGUAAUACGGAGGAUGCAAGCGUUAUCCGGAAUCAUUGGGUUUAAAGGGUCCGCAGGCGGAUUGUUAAGUCAGUGGUGAAAUCUUACAGCUCAACUGUAAAAUUGCCUUUGAUACUGGCAACCUUGNAAUCAUUGUGAAGUGGUUAGAAUGUGUAGUGUAGCGGUGAAAUGCUUAGAGAUUACACANAAUACCAAUUGCGAAGGCAGAUCACUAACAAUGUAUUGACNCUCANGGACNAAAGCGUGGGGAGCAAACAGGAUUAGAUACCCUGGUAGUCCACGCUGUAAACGAUGGUCACUAGCCGUUUGACCCGCAAUGGCGGAAUGAGUGGCUAAGCGAAAGUGAUAAGUGACCCACCUGGGGAGUACGUUCGCNAGAAUGAAACUCCNAUGAAUUGACCGGGGC